RNAcentral lists this unclassified non-coding RNA (7425 nucleotides) under Trichogramma pretiosum. RNAcentral describes it as "receptor-type guanylate cyclase Gyc76C-like, transcript variant X1". The record is from RNAcentral. Lineage: Eukaryota; Metazoa; Arthropoda; Insecta; Hymenoptera; Trichogrammatidae.
GAUCAGUAUGACACGGCCAAUGGCAACGCGCGGAUCUGUCUCGGACUGUUUUUAGCCGGUUUGCCCGCGCUAUAUAUACGCGCUAUACAGCGUAAACGUAACGCACGCAUUUUCCUGCACGUCCGCGAAAUAAUAAUACGAGAAAAAAACGUUCGAUCGAUUCCGAUUUUGCGCGCUACGCGAAACACAACGUACUACUACCACUACUCACUACAAAUUUUAUAUACAAUCGUAAACACGACGACGGAUUAUUUUAUUGUUAAAUUUUAGUGAAGUACGUGUACAUAUAAUAUAUUGUAUGUAUCAAUUUUCGUACGUCAAUGUAACGCAAAGCGAAAACAAAAAAAAACGCACGCGUAUCUCUCUGUGGCGCGCGUACGUGUAAAUGUGCAUACAGCCGAGUCUUCGUAUAUAUACAUGUAUGUUCUUCGUAAUCGAUGCUAAUGUCGAUGCUGUUGUGUGUGCGCGUGUGUGUCUAUAGUGCAUCGAAGCAACGGAUCAGUACGUGUGUGGUGCGAUUAUUAUCCGUGUGUAUACACGCGACGUGAAAAUAUUUAAGUAGCAAAAAAUAUUAAAAAAAAAAAAAAAAACGAAGAAGAAGAAGAGAUACGAGAAGAAGAAGCGGCUAUUAACAGUGUGUGUAUUAGUGUAAAAGAGAGAGAGAGAGAGAGAUAGAUUCAGCAGCAAGUGUGCGUUAUUAUCAUAGUAAACACAGUGAGCUCGGUCGAUUUUGUCAUAUUUUUCGCCAGUUCUCGACGUCGUGCUCGUGCUCUCGCGAAGUCGUCUCCGCUGCUGCAGAAGAUCAUUACAUAAAUAACAAAAAAAAAAAAGAGCCUCUCGGAGAAAUCUGCAUUCUGUGUGUUUGUGCGUAUAAUAAUAUAUAUAAUACAUUUCGUCCAAAAAAGAGCUGCUGCGAGCAUGUAUAAUAAUAUCUCUCUGCUUAUAUGCUGCUCCUCUCCUGCGCUCGUCAUAAUAUAAUCGAAGAGAGAGAGAGAGAAACACACCGACAACAGCACAACGAGAGUGUCGAGGCGCAGUGAAAAGGAGACGAUACACACACACAUUCGCCAAGUGCAUCAUCGUUAAAUAUAUUGUCUGUGUGUGUGUGGUAUAUUAUAUCCGCAGUGAACGUUACAUAUUUUAAAUCAACCGACGACGACGACGACGACGUUCGGAAAAAGCCCCGCAACUCUAUAUAACGUGUAUACAAGUGCCCGUACAGUCUGCUGCCUUGUUUAUUUCGGAGCUCCCUCGUAUUGUUGUGUGUAUCGAGUAGCUACUCGAUAAUAAACUACAGCUACUACAGAAAUACUACUGUGCCGUGUAGUCUUCCAUACUUAACCAAUAAUACGACUGCCAAUACGCACACAAAGACGACAACGGAAUAGUAGUAGCGAAGUGAAGUAAAAAAAAGAAGAAGAAGAGGAAGAAUAGAAGAAAGAAAAGUGUCGUGAAUGCAACGUGAUCGUGAGUGGUGAUGAUACCAGUGUGUGUGUAUUGUGUAUAUAUAAACACAUCAAAAAAAGUGCGUCUAACUUCGUGUAAUGAUCGUUGCCGGUUCUUCGCGCGUAUAGCAUCGUUGCCAAAAAAGAGCAAAGAAAGCAAAGCAACAACAAAAAAAAAGUCACUCGCGCAGCUUGCAGCAAAACGAGUGUGUGUGUGCCUUACGUGAGAUCGCGCAUCAGGGGCCCAUGCAACAGCAGCGGCAACAACAUACGUAUAUAACAUAACUGAAUCCUCGUAUUAUUAGAGCACCGCUGCAUAUAUGUGUGUACGCGAUUCUAUCGUGCACAUAUAGUCGUCGUCGUGCCGUUCGAGAUAGCGUGUCCGUAUUGAGAUCGCCGAGUGGUGCUCCGUCAGCGAGGUCGUGCACAUUGCCGAUGUGUGUAUCGCACAACUAUCGGCACACAUGAAUUUCCUACUUCUGUGAGUUCUUUUUCUGUGCGGCCCGAUACUGACUUUUUACAAGUGUGCGUAUGAGUGUGUUCUUCGAUACAAUACACGCACACAAGGGUCUGACGUACCAGCGCACUGACAGUUGUGCGUUGUUGUUGUUGUCUCUAAUUUAACUCGUGCGCUUGCUGUUUUUUAUUGUAAAACGUUCGUUCGGCUUGAUAUAACGCGAGUGAGGCCAAGACAAGUAUAUUUAAAUGAUAUACGCACGCGAAAGAGGCAAAUCCAAAUGAAAUAAAUUCGAGAAGUCAGAGAUUCGCAACGUGUGCUGCGAUCAGCUGUUCCUCUCUCGCCUCGCGCGCAGUGGGCGUCGUUGCCGUUGUUCUCUCUGCGUGCUGUCGUUCCAGAGUGCUUCGUUCGUCGAGAAAAAUAAUAAAAGUGCAAGUGAUUUUUGACGGGCAGAUAUAUAUAUAUAUAUAUCUGUCGAAGCUCUGUGCGUGCGCGUGAGUGUGUGAGUGAAACACAGAUAGAAACACGUGGACAAAAUUGUAGGCAGGCGCAUCGAGACACCACGUUACGAUGCACCACGAGCAGCCUAUGAGGCUCAGGUGGUUGCUAGCUUUCAACGCCAAAGGACAACGAAAAUCUGGUUGUCGGCGUCAUGAUAAACGAAUAGACUAUUUAGACAUACUGUCUUCUUGCUGAAGUCAACCUGCAAUGUUGUUUAGGUGAAACAAAAGAAGGAGGCGCUGACCGGUGGCGACGGCGGCCAUGCGCCCCGGCCCGCCGUGCACGAGCCGCCGCAGGCCCACCCGUCGCCAGCAGCCGUCGUCGUCAACAACAGCAACAGCAACAUCCGAAGUGUCCUCGCAAUCUAGUCGUCAAUUUCAUUCCAGUAACAAUCAGCAACAGCAGCAAUGCCAUUUCAACGAGAGCAACGGAAGAGACGGUCGGCGGCCGCUACGGAGGAGGAGCCUCGGUGCCGUCGCGUUGUUGCGGCUGCUGCCGAUGCUGCUGCUCGUCGUCGCAGCCUGGACGCCGACGAUCAUCGCCACGCCCGUCAUCGACGCUGUCGGAAGCGCCGUGGCCGCCAACUCGCUCGCCAGCGGCGACAACGGCAUUGCCAUCUACAACGACAAUCCGAACGACAACAACAACGACUCGUCGUUCUCUUACGCCGUCGGGCCGCGAUCGAUAGUCGUGACAACGUCGUCGGUCCACGAGACCAACGGCAGCAACAGCAACAACAAUGUGACGGCUCUGGAGGCGAUAAUGACGAGCAGCAGCAGCAGCAGCAGCAGCAGCAACGGCAUGACGAUGAACAACAUCAACAGCAGCAGCUUGGUGCGACCGCCGAGGGAGCCGCGCAAUCUCACCAUCGUCUACCUGACCGCGGUCAAGGGCGAUCUCAAGGAUCGCCAAGGACUGGCCAUAUCCGGCGCCUUCUCCAUGGCAGUUGACGAGAUCAACAACGAUCCGAACCUGUUGCCCGGUAUGAAGCUUCAGAUGCACUGGUACGACACCAAGGGCGACACGACCGAGUCCACCAGGGUGAUGAUCGACGAGAUCUGCGAGGGCGCCGUGGCCUUCUUCGGGCCCGAGGGCUCCUGCUACAUCGAAGCCAAAGUCUCCGAGUCGAAGAAUCUUCCGCUCAUCAGCUACAAAUGCUCGGACGACAAAGCCACGUCCAUCCGGACGUUCGCGCGCACCGAGCCGCCCGACACUCAGGUCACCAAGUCCGUCAUAGCCCUGCUCAUCCACUACAACUGGAACAAGUUCAGCAUCAUCUUCGAGAAGCCGUGGAACACCGUGGCCAAGUCGCUCCAGUCCCAGGCGCACUACAACAAUCUCACGGUGAACCACUACGUGCAGAUGGUCGACCGGCACAUCUGCUGCGAGGAGCGCAUGGCCUGCUGCCAGGGCGCCGGCUGGUUCGGCACCAUACAGGAGACCAAGAACAUGACGCGUAUUUACAUAUUUCUCGGCACGCCGAUCUCGCUGAUCGAGUUCAUGAACGCGAUGCAGAAUCAGCGGCUGCUCGACGACGGCCAGUACAUGGUCAUCUACGUCGACAUGCUCACGUACACGCCCAAAGAAGCCAUGAAGUACUUAUGGAAACCUGAACACUACAAUCUGCCGGACUGCAUGGACCCGAAGGACAAGGACUUUUUGGUGCGAGCCCGCUCGCUCAUGGUGGUCGCGGCGACGCCGCCCACCCACAACUACAUGGAGUUCACGGAGAAGGUCCGCCACUACACUGCCCAGGAGCCCUUCAACUUUCCCCUGCCCUCGCUCUUUCAGACCAAAUUCGAAAAGCACGUGUCCAUCUACGCGGCGUACCUGUACGACUCGGUGAAGCUGUACGCCUGGGCGCUCGACCGGCUGCUGCGCGAGAAUCCGGACGUCGAGACGGAGAAGAUCGUGAAGAACGGCACGUGGAUCAUCGACACCAUCAUCAGGAGCCACGUGUACAAGAGCAUCAGCGGGGCCAUGAUCAAGGUCGACAAGAACGGCGACUCCGAGGGCAACUUCUCGGUGUUAGCCCUCAAGCGCGAGCCCCUGCAGAUCCUGAACUUUUCGUGCGACUACCAGAUGAAGCCCGUGGGCCAGUUCCAGCAGGGCCAGGUGCUGGCUUAUCGUCCCGCCGAGGCCAUCGACUGGCCGGGCAAGAACAAGCCCGAAGCGGAGCCGGGCUGCGGCUUCUUCAACGAGCACUGCCCCCAGAGCAAUUCGCUCUACACGACGACAAUCGUCACCAUCGCCAUGUUCUUCGCCAUUCUGCUGACCAUAGGCGUGAUGAUCGUGGCGAGCUAUCACUGGCGCUACGAGCAGGAGCUCGCGGGCCUCAUGUGGCGCAUCGAGCUCGACGACGUGCGCUGCCACGACACCAACAAGCUCCAGCUCAAGGCGAGCAGCGACGCCCAGAAGAAGCUCAAGGCCGGCGGCCCCGGCGGCGGCGGCAGCCAUCAGAGCAUCAACAGCAGCUGGUCGUUCGAGUCGAGGCUGGGCGAGCAGCUGUUCACCUCGGUGGGCACGUACAAGGGCUUGGUGGUGAGGAUACGCAAGUGGAGAUUCGACAGGAAGAUCGAUCUGACCCGCGACACCAUGAAGGAGAUGCGGGCGCUGCGCGAGAUGAGCCACAAGAACAUCAACUCGUUCGUCGGGGCCUACCUCGAUCCGCAUACCGCGGUGCUGCUCACCGAGUACUGCGCCAAGGGCAGCCUUUACGACAUCAUCGAGAACGACGACAUCAAGCUGGACGAGAUGUUCAUCACGUCGCUGAUGCACGAUCUCAUCAAGGGCAUGUCGUAUCUGCACGCGUCCAACAUCUUCGUGUGCCACGGCAAUCUCAAGUCGUCCAAUUGCCUGGUGACGUCGCGCUGGGUCCUGCAGGUGUCCGACUUCGGUCUGCACGCCUUUCGCUCCGAGGCCAUCAUGGUGAUCGACGAGACCAGCUCCCAGGACCACGUCGUCGAGACCGGCGAGCACGAGCAGUUCCGAAAUUUGUAUUGGCGAGCGCCGGAAUUGCUGAGGUAUCCCGUGCUGGGCGGCACCAAGGAGGGCGACAUGUACUCCUUCGCUAUCGUGCUGUACGAAUUGAUGAGCCGCAAGGCGCCCUACACCACCGGCGAAAAGGAGGGUCAAACGCCCAAAGACAUUAUCUUUCACGUGACGUACGACGCGCUCAACAACAAGCCGCCGUAUCGUCCCCAGAUCGAUCUGAUCGACGCCAAGGACUACGAGUGCACCGAGUGGAUCAAGCCCAUGAUCAUGGACUGCUGGAACGAGUCGCCCGAGCUCAGGCCCGACUUCAAGAACGUGCGCCAGCGCAUGAACAAGAAGAACGGCAAGAUGCGCCAGACCCUGAUGGACAGGCUGCUCGAUCUCAUGGAGCAGUACGCCAACAAUCUCGAGGAACUCGUGACGGAUCGCACCCGAUUGCUCGAGAAGGAGAAGGAGAAGACCGAGGAUCUGCUGCACAGGAUGCUGCCCAAACCCGUGGCCUCGGUAUUGAAGAGGGGCGAGGACGUGGAGCCCGAGGCCUUCGAGAGCGUAACCAUCUACUUUAGCGACAUCGUCGGCUUCACCGAGAUGUCCGCGUCCAGCACCCCCUUCCAGGUCGUUACUUUCCUCGACUCCCUGUACUCGGUCUUCGACACCAUCACCAAGAAGUACGACGUGUACAAGGUGGAAACGAUCGGCGACGCGUACAUGGUCGUAUCGGGCCUGCCGAUCAAGAACGGCAACAAUCACGCGGGUGAGAUCGCGUCGAUGGCGAUGGACCUGCUGGAGGCGGCGAAGAAGCACACGAUACCCCACAGGCCGAACGAGCCGCUCAGGCUGCGCAUCGGAAUUCAUUCGGGCCCGGUGGUGGCGGGCGUGGUGGGCCUGAUCAUGCCCAGAUACUGUCUGUUCGGCGACACGGUCAACACGGCCUCGCGCAUGGAGUCGAACGGCGAGCCGCUCAAGAUCCACAUAAGCGAUCGCUGCAAGGAGAAGCUCGAUCUCAUCGGCGGCUACGUGACGGAGGAGCGCGGCCUGGUCGAGAUGAAGGGCAAGGGCCGAGUGCUGACCUACUGGCUCGUCGGCAAGACCGAGGAGGCGAUACAGCCGCGCUUCUACGACGACGACUACUCGGGCAUCGGGCCGAUCUUCGACAGCGCGCGCAGCCGACAGCAGGCCAUGGUGAUCAACGGCUCGAUAGCCAGCAUAAUGGGCGCCGGCUCGAUGGCCGGGAGUCGUCGGGAAUCGGCGGCGCAAGAGUUGGCGCUCAUGCUCGGCGAGCGGCCGAACACCAACGCCGCCAACAAUCGCAAGCACGAGCCGACGCCGCUCUACUUACCACCCGCUACGAUCACUCCUAGCGUGUCCCAGCUCACUCUGCGCUCCGUCGCCGACAUUAGCAAUCAGCCGAACCUGCCCCUGCAGCAGCAGCAAAACGAGCCGACGGAGAACGACGCGCUGUUACCGCGACAGGAGGCAGAGGCGACGACGCCACCGGAUCCGCCGCCCCGGAGUUUCGGAGGAUCCUUGGAGAUCGUGUACCCCGCCGAGUCGUACGAGUCUCUGCAGCAGCAGCAGCAGCAGCAGCAGGACCACAAUCGUCAGCUGCCGCUGCUCAACGGCCUCGAGAACUCGGCGGACGCCGCGGCGGCGGCGGCCUUGAACAGGUUCAGGAUGCAGGACGGCGUCAACGGCAACGGCAUCGAGCUCGAAGAGCGACGAUGACCUCGACGGAACGCGCGAAACAAGAGGUCAAAUGCCAGCUAAGCGAAAAUAGCUAUAUAUCGACGGAGAUGGCCGCAUCGUUCGCGCGAAACUUAUAAAUAAAUUUCGCAAUGCGUAUUUUCCCAGAAGACGCGUUUGACCACAAAUCAAUUUUGACUAGGCUAAUAUAGUAAUAAGAGAGUCGCUUCUUCUUUUUGUUUACGCAUUGCUGACUCUUGACGAUCCUGGGCACGCCGGCCAACGGCCACGCGCUGGUCCGCAAGCGCAACCCCGCCUCGCACCACCAGGCGCCGGACUUUCGCA